This 2930-nucleotide ribosomal RNA is filed under the name Escherichia coli. RNAcentral describes it as "23S ribosomal RNA". It matches the Rfam family "Bacterial large subunit ribosomal RNA". The record is from RNAcentral. Lineage: Bacteria; Pseudomonadati; Pseudomonadota; Gammaproteobacteria; Enterobacterales; Enterobacteriaceae.
GGGUUGUGAGGUUAAGCGACUAAGCGUACACGGUGGAUGCCCUGGCAGUCAGAGGCGAUGAAGGACGUGCUAAUCUGCGAUAAGCGUCGGUAAGGUGAUAUGAACCGUUAUAACCGGCGAUUUCCGAAUGGGGAAACCCAGUGUGUUUCGACACACUAUCAUUAACUGAAUCCAUAGGUUAAUGAGGCGAACCGGGGGAACUGAAACAUCUAAGUACCCCGAGGAAAAGAAAUCAACCGAGAUUCCCCCAGUAGCGGCGAGCGAACGGGGAGGAGCCCAGAGCCUGAAUCAGUGUGUGUGUUAGUGGAAGCGUCUGGAAAGGCGCGCGAUACAGGGUGACAGCCCCGUACACAAAAAUGCACAUACUGUGAGCUCGAUGAGUAGGGCGGGACACGUGGUAUCCUGUCUGAAUAUGGGGGGACCAUCCUCCAAGGCUAAAUACUCCUGACUGACCGAUAGUGAACCAGUACCGUGAGGGAAAGGCGAAAAGAACCCCGGCGAGGGGAGUGAAAAAGAACCUGAAACCGUGUACGUACAAGCAGUGGGAGCCUCUUUUAUGGGGUGACUGCGUACCUUUUGUAUAAUGGGUCAGCGACUUAUAUUCUGUAGCAAGGUUAACCGAAUAGGGGAGCCGAAGGGAAACCGAGUCUUAACUGGGCGUUAAGUUGCAGGGUAUAGACCCGAAACCCGGUGAUCUAGCCAUGGGCAGGUUGAAGGUUGGGUAACACUAACUGGAGGACCGAACCGACUAAUGUUGAAAAAUUAGCGGAUGACUUGUGGCUGGGGGUGAAAGGCCAAUCAAACCGGGAGAUAGCUGGUUCUCCCCGAAAGCUAUUUAGGUAGCGCCUCGUGAACUCAUCUCCGGGGGUAGAGCACUGUUUCGGCAAGGGGGUCAUCCCGACUUACCAACCCGAUGCAAACUGCGAAUACCGGAGAAUGUUAUCACGGGAGACACACGGCGGGUGCUAACGUCCGUCGUGAAGAGGGAAACAACCCAGACCGCCAGCUAAGGUCCCAAAGUCAUGGUUAAGUGGGAAACGAUGUGGGAAGGCCCAGACAGCCAGGAUGUUGGCUUAGAAGCAGCCAUCAUUUAAAGAAAGCGUAAUAGCUCACUGGUCGAGUCGGCCUGCGCGGAAGAUGUAACGGGGCUAAACCAUGCACCGAAGCUGCGGCAGCGACGCUGAUGCGUUGUUGGGUAGGGGAGCGUUCUGUAAGCCUGUGAAGGUGUGCUGUGAGGCAUGCUGGAGGUAUCAGAAGUGCGAAUGCUGACAUAAGUAACGAUAAAGCGGGUGAAAAGCCCGCUCGCCGGAAGACCAAGGGUUCCUGUCCAACGUUAAUCGGGGCAGGGUGAGUCGACCCCUAAGGCGAGGCCGAAAGGCGUAGUCGAUGGGAAACAGGUUAAUAUUCCUGUACUUGGUGUUACUGCGAAGGGGGGACGGAGAAGGCUAUGUUGGCCGGGCGACGGUUGUCCCGGUUUAAGCGUGUAGGCUGGUUUUCCAGGCAAAUCCGGAAAAUCAAGGCUGAGGCGUGAUGACGAGGCACUACGGUGCUGAAGCAACAAAUGCCCUGCUUCCAGGAAAAGCCUCUAAGCAUCAGGUAACAUCAAAUCGUACCCCAAACCGACACAGGUGGUCAGGUAGAGAAUACCAAGGCGCUUGAGAGAACUCGGGUGAAGGAACUAGGCAAAAUGGUGCCGUAACUUCGGGAGAAGGCACGCUGAUAUGUAGGUGAAGUCCCUCGCGGAUGGAGCUGAAAUCAGUCGAAGAUACCAGCUGGCUGCAACUGUUUAUUAAAAACACAGCACUGUGCAAACACGAAAGUGGACGUAUACGGUGUGACGCCUGCCCGGUGCCGGAAGGUUAAUUGAUGGGGUCAGCGCAAGCGAAGCUCUUGAUCGAAGCCCCGGUAAACGGCGGCCGUAACUAUAACGGUCCUAAGGUAGCGAAAUUCCUUGUCGGGUAAGUUCCGACCUGCACGAAUGGCGUAAUGAUGGCCAGGCUGUCUCCACCCGAGACUCAGUGAAAUUGAACUCGCUGUGAAGAUGCAGUGUACCCGCGGCAAGACGGAAAGACCCCGUGAACCUUUACUAUAGCUUGACACUGAACAUUGAGCCUUGAUGUGUAGGAUAGGUGGGAGGCUUAGAAGUGUGGACGCCAGUCUGCAUGGAGCCGACCUUGAAAUACCACCCUUUAAUGUUUGAUGUUCUAACGUUGACCCGUGAUCCGGGUUGCGGACAGUGUCUGGUGGGUAGUUUGACUGGGGCGGUCUCCUCCUAAAGAGUAACGGAGGAGCACGAAGGUUGGCUAAUCCUGGUCGGACAUCAGGAGGUUAGUGCAAUGGCAUAAGCCAGCUUGACUGCGAGCGUGACGGCGCGAGCAGGUGCGAAAGCAGGUCAUAGUGAUCCGGUGGUUCUGAAUGGAAGGGCCAUCGCUCAACGGAUAAAAGGUACUCCGGGGAUAACAGGCUGAUACCGCCCAAGAGUUCAUAUCGACGGCGGUGUUUGGCACCUCGAUGUCGGCUCAUCACAUCCUGGGGCUGAAGUAGGUCCCAAGGGUAUGGCUGUUCGCCAUUUAAAGUGGUACGCGAGCUGGGUUUAGAACGUCGUGAGACAGUUCGGUCCCUAUCUGCCGUGGGCGCUGGAGAACUGAGGGGGGCUGCUCCUAGUACGAGAGGACCGGAGUGGACGCAUCACUGGUGUUCGGGUUGUCAUGCCAAUGGCACUGCCCGGUAGCUAAAUGCGGAAGAGAUAAGUGCUGAAAGCAUCUAAGCACGAAACUUGCCCCGAGAUGAGUUCUCCCUGACCCUUUAAGGGUCCUGAAGGAACGUUGAAGACGACGACGUUGAUAGGCCGGGUGUGUAAGCGCAGCGAUGCGUUGAGCUAACCGGUACUAAUGAACCGUGAGGCUUAACCUUACAACGCCGAAGCUGUU